Molecule: ribosomal RNA, 388 nt
Filed under: Chytridiomycetes sp.
Lineage: Eukaryota; Fungi; Chytridiomycota; Chytridiomycetes
Description: partial small subunit ribosomal RNA
Rfam family: Eukaryotic small subunit ribosomal RNA
Source: RNAcentral
AUUCCAGCUCCAAUAGCGUAUAUUAAAGUUGUUGCAGUUAAAAAGCUCGUAGUUGAAUUUUGGACCUGGUUGAAUGGUCCCGCCGCAAGGUGGGUACUGUUUGAUUGGGUCUUUCUUUGCGGGGAAUUAGUGUGCUCUUAAUUGGGUGCAUUAAGGAUCCGUAACUUUUACUUUGAAAAAAUUAGAGUGUUUAAAGCAGGCUUAGGCCUGAAUACAUUAGCAUGGUAUAAUAGAAUAGGACCAGUGUUCUAUUUUGUUGGUUUCUAGGACGUAGGUAAUGAUUAAUAGGGACAGUUGGGGGCAUUAGUAUUUAAGUGUCAGAGGUGAAAUUCUUGGAUUGCUUAAAGACUAACUUCUGCGAAAGCAUUUGCCAAGGAUGUUUUCAUCA